This 271-nucleotide long non-coding RNA is filed under the name Rattus norvegicus (Norway rat). RNAcentral's name for it is "long non-coding RNA NONRATT025384". Lineage: Eukaryota; Metazoa; Chordata; Mammalia; Rodentia; Muridae. The record is from RNAcentral.
AGAGGCCCCUCCCACUGUGCAGUCCUGCUCAGUCCUCUCCCACCUCACCCUUCUUGUUCUUCUCCUUGGUGACCACGGUCAUGGACAUGGCUGUGCCGCUGUCCAGUAGUCCACCUGCAGCCCCAUGAGCUCAGCGCCGACACCCUGGCUGUGGAAGGCAGAGGGAAGUGCGCUCAUUCAUGAUGUCGCUGUGACAUCGUAGGCAAGGAGACAUGGCCGGCAUCUGCCCUAACUUGCUGGCUGGGGCCAGUAAACUGUGAGAAGCUCUGCA